RNAcentral lists this unclassified non-coding RNA (208 nucleotides) under Hevea brasiliensis (rubber tree). The record is from RNAcentral. Lineage: Eukaryota; Viridiplantae; Streptophyta; Magnoliopsida; Malpighiales; Euphorbiaceae.
GGAGAGAGUUGCAGAGAUGUUUGACAUUGUAAUUUUUACUGCUAGUCAGAGCAUAUAUGCGAAGCAAUUGUUGGAUAUUCUGGAUCCAGAUGGAAAGAUUAUCUCAAGGCGAGCAUAUCGUGAAUCAUGCAUCUUCUCUGAUGGAAGUUAUACAAAGGAUUUAACGGUAUUAGGUGUUGAUCUGGCAAAAGUUGUCAUUGUAGAUAAU